GACGAACGCUGGCGGCGUGCUUAACACAUGCAAGUCGAACGGAAAGGCCCUGCUUUUGUGGGGUGCUCGAGUGGCGAACGGGUGAGUAACACGUGAGUAACCUGCCCUUGACUUUGGGAUAACUUCAGGAAACUGGGGCUAAUACCGGAUAGGAGCUCCUGCUGCAUGGUGGGGGUUGGAAAGUUUCGGCGGUUGGGGUUGGACUCGCGGCUUAUCAGCUUGUUGGUGGGGUAGUGGCUUACAAAGGCUUUGACGGGUAGCCGGCCUGAGAGGGUGACCGGCCACAGUGGGACUGAGAUACGGCCCAGACUCCUACGGGAGGCAUCAGUGGGGAAUAUUGCACAAUGGGCGGAAGCCGGAUGCAGCAACGCCGCGUGCUGGAUGACGGCCUUCGGGUUGUAAACCGCGUUCGCCUGUGACGAAGCGUGAGUGACGGUAAUGGGUAAAGAAGCACCGGCUAACUACGUG
This 468-nucleotide ribosomal RNA is filed under the name uncultured bacterium. RNAcentral describes it as "partial 16S ribosomal RNA". It matches the Rfam family "Bacterial small subunit ribosomal RNA", at positions 28 to 507 of the family's 1533-position model. The record is from RNAcentral.